AUGAAUAUCAAGAGUGGCUUUUCAUGGGAGGCAGGGACCAUGUGUAGUCCCUCAGCUUGGAGAGAAUCAGUGACAGCAGUUUUCAUCAGUUCACAUUGUUUUGGUCUUCUAAUUGAAGAACUUCAGUUUCUCAGGUCCCCCAUCGAUAGUCUGCCAUGCUGUGGAGGCAUAUCCUUUCCUAGCUUAACUACGGUGGAAGGAGAAGGGGAAGCAGGUGCCCGCCACCACUCCCAGCUAAAGAGGCCCCAGGCUGGACCUUCCUCAGUCAGUUCCCCUCCUGGCAUCCCAACAGCUGCAGCGUCAGUUAGAGCGAGCCUCCAGCUACGUUCCCAGCGCAGGGCAGCAGACGGUGUUUCGUGGGCUCCGAUUGGCUCAGUGGCCUAUCUUCGGAGCGAAUCAGCGAGCGGAGAGGGAUUAACUACCCUGAUUGGCCAGAUCCAGUCACAUGCCGAUAUGUGACGCGUGAAGUCUAUGCCAGCCACAGUGGAGGGGCGGGGGGUGUGUCCGGAGUUAGAUCCCAGCGCAGAAGAGACGUGAGCCCAGCCAACGUUCCGCAGAAGAGGAUUCAAAUUUUGUUAUGCAGAUAAUCACUGGGGUCAUGGGCCUUGCUCCUUGCAAAGCGAUGUGUCCCUGUAAAGUUGUCAGGCAAAGGAAAUGUCUCAAACGACUGAAUUUCACCAAAUAUCACCUAAUUUAUAAUUCGUUGGUUGAGAUGCUUGUAUUCUUCGUUUCUACUUUUUACUUUUUUUUUUUUUUACACCAUCAAAGACUUGAAGUAUUCUUCGUUUCUAAAUAAGAGGUUGAACUAUAAAGGCUCUAGCUAGCUGUGCAACCUCUGAUGAAUGAUUUCAUGCCUCACUAUUGUGAAAAAUCCAAAGCGGAAUUGGAGAGACGAUGUGGUAUAGGGAUUAGAUAAGCGACGACUGGUGCAAAGCCUACUGGGUCGAAAUUCUGGCCAUUUCUUUGUCAUUGGAAAAGUUAUUUAACGUCGGCGUCUCAGUUCCCACAACUAUUAAAACGGAGAGGAUAAUACCUACUUUAUGCUCUUAAAAGGAUUAAAUAAGUUACCGUUAACAUAUGUAAAGGAUUUAAAAGAGGACCCAUGUAUUUGCUAUUAUGUUAUCCAUACAAUAAAGAGUAAUCAUUACCUAAGUUAUAAAGAACUUAGGCAAUGGAAGCCGGGCGUGGUGGCUCAUGCCUGUAAUCCCAGCACUUUGGGAGUCCGAGGCGGGCGGAUCACCGAAGAGUCCGAGACCAGCCUGACCGAUAUGGUGAAACCCCGUCUCUACAAAUAAUACAAAAAUUAGUCAUUUAUUAUACACCAGGAACUGUGCUAAGAGCGAUGUGUUGUCACUUUAUUUCUUCUUUUUUUUUUUUGAAACGGAAUCUCGCUCUGUCUCCCAGGCUGGAGUGCAGUGGCGCGAUCUCGGCUCACCGCAACCUCCACCUCCUGGGUGCAAGCGAUUCUCCUGCCUCAGCCACCUGAGUAACUGGGAUUACAGGCGCCCCCCACCACAACUGGCUAUUUUUUUUUUUUUUUGUAUUUUUAGUAGAGACCGGGUUUCAUCAUAUUGGUCAGGGUGGUCUCGAACUCCUGACCUCGUGAUCCGUCCGCUUACGGCCUCCCACAGUCCUGGGAUUACAGGCCGUCAACCACUGCGCCCGUUCGUGUUAUCUUAUUUAAUCCUCACAACAAUCUUAUGGAGUGGGUGCUGCUGUCAUCUUUGUUUUUCAGAUGAGAAAACAAGCUCAGAAUGGUGAAAUGACUUGUCCACGGUCACAGGCCAGUGGAGGUUUGAACCCAGGUAUUUGUAAUUCCAAAUAUCAUACUCUGUCCAUACUCAUUCCUUGUAACGUGCCUCGGCUGUCACAGGUGGUCUCGGGGCUAGCAGCUCCCCGUGGGCCGGAACAGGCGUAUCCCUGCCCACCACCCAGCCAAUCGCGCCAGCCCGACUCUACCCUUGUGGCUACGCCCACUGUCCCGCG
Molecule: long non-coding RNA, 1986 nt
Organism: Aotus nancymaae (Ma's night monkey)
Lineage: Eukaryota; Metazoa; Chordata; Mammalia; Primates; Aotidae
Source: Ensembl